Transfer RNA from Ovis aries (sheep), 73 nucleotides. It matches the Rfam family "tRNA". From Rfam's summary of the family: Transfer RNA (tRNA) molecules are approximately 80 nucleotides in length. Their secondary structure includes four short double-helical elements and three loops (D, anti-codon, and T loops). Further hydrogen bonds mediate the characteristic L-shaped molecular structure. tRNAs have two regions of fundamental functional importance: the anti-codon, which is responsible for specific mRNA codon recognition, and the 3' end, to which the tRNAs corresponding amino acid is attached (by aminoacyl-tRNA synthetases). tRNAs cope with the degeneracy of the genetic code in two manners: having more than one tRNA (with a specific anti-codon) for a particular amino acid; and 'wobble' base-pairing, i.e. permitting non-standard base-pairing at the 3rd anti-codon position. The record is from Rfam. NCBI's taxonomy places the organism in Eukaryota, Metazoa, Chordata, Mammalia, Artiodactyla, Bovidae.
UUCCUGGUGGUCCAAUGGUUAAGACUCAGUGCUUUUACUGCUGUGGGCUCAGGUUCAAUCCCUGGUCAGGGAA